Molecule: long non-coding RNA, 399 nt
Organism: Rhagoletis pomonella (apple maggot)
Lineage: Eukaryota; Metazoa; Arthropoda; Insecta; Diptera; Tephritidae
Exons: 2
Source: RefSeq, a predicted model, not a curated record
AAGGACAAUCUUCGACCACCUUGACAAAACCUACCUACAAAUUAAUUCCCACCUUUUACUUACAGGUUGAUAGCACUGACGCUUUUCUCGACAACCAACUCGAUGGACAAACUUAUGGACUACACUGACGCCAACUACAUCCCAAUCCUGGACGGGGACAUGAUACUAUGGGAACAUUACGGAUAUCUGACUCACUUUACUAAUAUAUCACUUCACAUAUGAGAAAGCUACUAGACGCGGACAUAGCACACAUCGAAACACUAUUACGAACCGUCGACAUUCACCAUCGACAAGCACGAAGCCUGAACUUUUUAGGUACGGCACUGAAGGUAAUCGCUGGUACCCCCGACUUCGACGACCACCAAAGGCUACAAAUGAGACAGGAUAUUCUCGUUGAUU